Molecule: long non-coding RNA, 115 nt
Organism: Amblyraja radiata (thorny skate)
Lineage: Eukaryota; Metazoa; Chordata; Chondrichthyes; Rajiformes; Rajidae
Exons: 3
Source: RefSeq, a predicted model, not a curated record
GUGGACUAGGUGAGAACGAGUUACAGACAAUGAGACUCAAAAUUACGACUUUGAAGCUAGCACGACGGGUGGUGAGGGAUAGAAAGAGAGAUCGACAGAGAGAGAGAGUACAGAG